UACGUAGGGGGCAAGCGUUAUCAGGGUUUACUGGGUGUAAAGGGAGCGUAGACGGCAGGUCAAGUCUGAAGUGAAAGCCCGCGGCUCAACUGCGGGACUGCUUUGGAAACUGGUCAGCUGGAGUGUCGGAGGGGCAAGCGGAAUUCCUAGUGUAGCGGUGAAAUGCGUAGAUAUUAGGAGGAACACCGGUGGCGAAGGCGGCUUGCUGGACGAUAACUGACGUUGAGGCUCGAAAGCGUGGGGAGCAAAC
Molecule: ribosomal RNA, 250 nt
Filed under: uncultured prokaryote
Description: partial 16S ribosomal RNA
Rfam family: Bacterial small subunit ribosomal RNA
Source: RNAcentral